This is a long non-coding RNA of Lathyrus oleraceus (garden pea), 313 nucleotides long. RefSeq lists it as uncharacterized. The transcript has 3 exons. NCBI's taxonomy places the organism in Eukaryota, Viridiplantae, Streptophyta, Magnoliopsida, Fabales, Fabaceae. The record is from RefSeq and is a predicted model, not a curated record.
AAAAAUUAGGCAUUUCGUGGCCCAGAAGUAACGACUAACGAGAGGGUAGGUAAGGGUUUAUUAUCACAGUUUCACAUUCAAACGCCGCAUUGUGAAAACUCCAUGGAUGAAGUUAGGGCUACCUCUGCUUGGGUCGCUAGCCGCUCCUCCCAUGUCACCGUCGACUCUUCAGGAAUUGAGAAAGUAGUGAGCAAGAUUGAGUCUAUUCCCAAAGUUGAAUGGGAUUUUGAAGGGAUUCAUUAUUUUGAUAAUGGACCUCUCACUGUUCAGUACCUGUUUGUUUUGGACGCUUUGAAUUUUUGCUUCUGGCCUG